GAUGAACGCUGGCGGCGUGCCUAAUACAUGCAAGUCGAGCGAACGGACGAGAAGCUUGCUUCUCUGAUGUUAGCGGCGGACGGGUGAGUAACACGUGGAUAACCUACCUAUAAGACUGGGAUAACUUCGGGAAACCGGAGCUAAUACCGGAUAAUAUUUUGAACCGCAUGGUUCAAAAGUGAAAGACGGUCUUGCUGUCACUUAUAGAUGGAUCCGCGCUGCAUUAGCUAGUUGGUAAGGUAACGGCUUACCAAGGCAACGAUGCAUAGCCGACCUGAGAGGGUGAUCGGCCACACUGGAACUGAGAAACGGUCCAGACUCCUACGGGAGGCAGCAGUAGGGAAUCUUUCGCAAUGGGCGAAAGCCUGACGGAGCAACGCCGCGGGAGUGAUGAAGGUCUUCGGAUCGUAAAACUCUUUUAUUAGGGAAGAACAUAUGUGUAAGUAACUGUGCACAUCUUGACGGUACCUAAUCAGAAAGCCACGGCUAACUACGUG
Molecule: ribosomal RNA, 497 nt
Filed under: uncultured bacterium
Lineage: Bacteria
Description: partial 16S ribosomal RNA
Rfam family: Bacterial small subunit ribosomal RNA
Source: RNAcentral